CUGGUGUCAGCCGCCGCGGUAAUACCAGCACCUCGAGUGGUCAGGACGUUUAUUGGGCCUAAAGCAUCCGUAGCCGGCUCUGCAAGUCUUCGGUUAAAUCCACCUGCUCAACAGAUGGGCUGCUGGAGAUACUACAGAGCUAGGGAGUGGGAGAGGCAGACGGUAUUCAGUGGGUAGGGGUAAAAUCCUCUGAUCCAUUGAGGACCACCAGUGGCGAAGGCGGUCUGCCAGAACACGUUCGACGGUGAGGGAUGAAAGCUGGGGGAGCAAACCGGAUUAGAUACCCGGGUAGUCCCAGCUGUAAACGAUGCAAACUCGGUGAUGCAUUGGCUUAUGGCCAAUGCAGUGCCGCAGGGAAGCCGUUAAGUUUGCCGCCUGGGAAGUACGGAAGCAAGUCUGAAACUUAAAG
Molecule: ribosomal RNA, 409 nt
Filed under: uncultured Nitrososphaerota archaeon
Lineage: Archaea; Thermoproteati; Nitrososphaerota
Description: bacterial SSU rRNA
Rfam family: Archaeal small subunit ribosomal RNA
Source: RNAcentral